RNAcentral lists this ribosomal RNA (114 nucleotides) under Cebus imitator (Panamanian white-faced capuchin). The record is from RNAcentral. Lineage: Eukaryota; Metazoa; Chordata; Mammalia; Primates; Cebidae.
GUCUAUGGCCAUACCACCCUGAACGUGCCUGAUCUCGUCUGAUCUUGGAAGCUAAGCAGGGUCCAGCGUGGUUAGUACUUGGAUGGGAGAAAUACCAGUGCUCAGCCACAGCCA